GACGAACGCUGGCCGCGCGCCUAACACAUGCAAGUCGAACGGGACUAGUGACCGGAGAUUAGAUGAGUUCUAGUUUGCGAUCACUAGUUCAGUGGCGGACGGGUGAGUAAAGCAUGAGCAACCUGGCUACUAGAGGGGGAUAGCUUUUGGAAACAGAAGAUAAUACCGCAUAAAUCAAAGAUUUCGCAUGAGUAUUUUUAGGAAAAGGAGCAAUCCGCUAAUAGAUGGGCUCAUGUCCGAUUAGCUAGUUGGUGGGGUAAAGGCCUACCAAGGCGACGAUCGGUAGCCGUACUGAGAGGUUCAACGGCCACAUUGGGACUGAGACACGGCCCAGACUCC
RNAcentral lists this ribosomal RNA (339 nucleotides) under uncultured Clostridia bacterium. RNAcentral describes it as "bacterial SSU rRNA". It matches the Rfam family "Bacterial small subunit ribosomal RNA", at positions 28 to 339 of the family's 1533-position model. The record is from RNAcentral. Lineage: Bacteria; Bacillati; Bacillota; Clostridia.